CUAGCCGUAAACGAUGGGUACUAGGUGUUGGGGGUAUCGACCCCUCCAGUGCCGGAGUUAACGCAAUAAGUACCCCGCCUGGGGAGUACGGCCGCAAGGUUGAAACUCAAAGGAAUUGACGGGGGCCCGCACAAGCGGUGGAGUAUGUGGUUUAAUUCGACGCAACGCGAAGAACCUUACCAAGACUUGACAUCGUCUGAUGACUCUAGAGAUAGAGAGUUCACCUUCGGGUGACAGAUAGACAGGUGG
Molecule: ribosomal RNA, 249 nt
Filed under: uncultured Pelosinus sp.
Lineage: Bacteria; Bacillati; Bacillota; Negativicutes; Selenomonadales; Sporomusaceae
Description: partial 16S ribosomal RNA
Rfam family: Bacterial small subunit ribosomal RNA
Source: RNAcentral